UCCAUGUGGGGUCAGCCUCGGUGGGCAAGACCAGCCUGGUACAGCUUCUUGCACACCUGACUGGUCACCCACUAAAGAUCAUGGCUAUGAACAGUGCAGUCUACAUCACGGAGCUUCUGGGUGGAUUUGAGUAGGUUGAUCUUAGGCGACCUUGGAAGCAGCUGCUGGAGAAGGUGGAAGACACAGUGAGGGCACUGCUGCGGGACAGCUUCCUGGUCAGUACUGAUGAUGCUGAGGUCGUGCUGCGAGCCUGGAGUCACUUCCUCCUGACAUACAAGCCUCAGUGUUUUGAAGAUGAUGGCAAAGGCAUCACAAUGGAGACUGUCAAUAAACUGGAAGCAGUGCUACUGCUCAUGCAGCAGCUUAUCAAUAAGAUCAACUCUUACUCCAAGGCAGAGUUUGCCAAGCUUGUGGAAGACUUCCGAAGUUUUGGAGUGAAGCUUAUGC
This is a long non-coding RNA of Ochotona princeps (American pika), 447 nucleotides long. RefSeq lists it as uncharacterized. Lineage: Eukaryota; Metazoa; Chordata; Mammalia; Lagomorpha; Ochotonidae. The transcript has 3 exons. The record is from RefSeq and is a predicted model, not a curated record.